Molecule: ribosomal RNA, 434 nt
Filed under: Acanthamoeba sp.
Lineage: Eukaryota; Discosea; Longamoebia; Acanthamoebidae
Description: SSU rRNA
Rfam family: Eukaryotic small subunit ribosomal RNA
Source: RNAcentral
ACCGUGUGAAUUAGAGUGUUCAAAGCAGGCAGAUCCAAUUGUCUGCCACCGAAUACAUUAGCAUGGGAUAAUGGAAUAGGACCCUGUCCUCCUAUGCUCAGUUGGUUUGCCGCGAGGACCAGGGUAAUGAUUAAUAGGGAUAGUUGGGGGCAUUAAUACUUAAUUGUCAGAGGUGAAAUUCUUGGAUUUAUGAAAGAUUAACUUCUGCGAAAGCAUCUGCCAAGGAUGUUUUCAUUAAUCAAGAACGAAAGUUAGGGGAUCGAAGACGAUCAGAUACCGUCGUAGUCUUAACCAUAAACGAUGCCGACCAGCGAUUAGGAGACGUUGAAUACAAAACACCACCAUGCGAUUGCGGUCGUCUUUGGUGUCGCUCACAAGGCGGCAUCGGGACGGCUUAGCUCGCAUGGCACCGGUGAAUGACUCCCUAGCAGCUC